Molecule: unclassified non-coding RNA, 255 nt
Filed under: Hevea brasiliensis (rubber tree)
Lineage: Eukaryota; Viridiplantae; Streptophyta; Magnoliopsida; Malpighiales; Euphorbiaceae
Source: RNAcentral
GAAGAUCUAGAUUUGGAAGCCUUCUAUCAGUCGGCCAUGUUUCUUCUAAAACAGACAGGCUUUCGAUGAGAGGCCCUGAAGGACGCGGGGAUGUUGAAGUUGCUGUGUCUGGAGUUGCAGAUCAGAGCCUUCAGAUUACAGAUCCUCCGUCACCGAUUCAAUUGUCGAAGAAAGGAUUGGGAAUUGGUCUCGGUACCAUUGUCCACAAAGCAGCCUCUGCUGCUUCUGUGUUGGCAAAGAAUGCUUAUGCUGCCG